AUGAACGCUGGCGGCGUGCCUAAUACAUGCAAGUCGAGCGAACAGACGAGGAGCUUGCUCCUCUGACGUUAGCGGCGGACGGGUGAGUAACACGUGGAUAACCUACCUAUAAGACUGGGAUAACUUCGGGAAACCGGAGCUAAUACCGGAUAAUAUAUUGAACCGCAUGGUUCAAUAGUGAAAGACGGUUUUGCUGUCACUUAUAGAUGGAUCCGCGCCGCAUUAGCUAGUUGGUAAGGUAACGGCUUACCAAGGCAACGAUGCGUAGCCGACCUGAGAGGGUGAUCGGCCACACUGGAACUGAGACACGGUCCAGACUCCUACGGGAGGCAGCAGUAGGGAAUCUUCCGCAAUGGGCGAAAGCCUGACGGAGCAACGCCGCGUGAGUGAUGAAGGUCUUCGGAUCGUAAAACUCUGUUAUUAGGGAAGAACAAAUGUGUAAGUAACGAUGCACGUCUUGACGGUACCUAAUCAGAAAGCCACGGCGAACUACGU
RNAcentral lists this ribosomal RNA (495 nucleotides) under uncultured bacterium. RNAcentral describes it as "partial 16S ribosomal RNA". It matches the Rfam family "Bacterial small subunit ribosomal RNA", at positions 29 to 506 of the family's 1533-position model. The record is from RNAcentral.